GCCGGCCUGAGAGGGUGAUCGGCCACAUUGGGACUGAGAUACGGCCCAGACUCCUACGGGAGGCAGCAGUUAAGAAUCUUGCGCAAUGGGCGAAAGCCUGACGCAGCGACGCCGCGUGGACGAUGAAGGCCUUCGGGUUGUAAAGUCCGGUAAGCAGGGAAGAAUAAGCAAGAACUAUAUUUCUUGUGAUGACGGUACCUGCCUAAAGCCCCGGCUAACUACGUGCCAGCAGCCGCGGUAAUACGUAUGGGGCGAGCGUUGUUCGGAAUUAUUGGGAUAAAGGGCGUCUAGGCGGGGGAUUAAGUUAGGUGUGAAAGCCAUGGGCUCAACCCGUGAAUUGCAUCUAAAACUGGUUCUCUUGAGUUCGGGAGAGGAGAGCGGAAUUCCUGGUGUAGCGGUGAAAUGCGUAGAUAUCAGGAAGAACACCAGUGGCGAAGGCGGCUCUCUGGCCUAGAACUGACGCUGAAGCGCGAAAGCGUGGGGAGCGAACGGGAUUAGAUACCCCGGUAGUCCACGCCGUAAACGUUGUGUACUAGGUGUUAGUGACUUGUUCACUAGUGCCGACGCUAACGCAUUAAGUACACCGCCUGGGGAGUACGCCCGCAAGGGUGAAACUCAAAGAAAUUGACGGGGGCCCGCACAAGCGGUGGAGCAUGUGGUUUAAUUCGAUGAUACGCGAAGAACCUUACCAGGGCUUGAACUGUUUCUGACAGGUGUAGAGAUACACCCUCCUUCGGGCAGAUUCAGAGGUGCUGCAUGGUUGUCGUCAGCUCGUGGUGAGAUGUUGGGUUAAGUCCCGCAACGAGCGCAACCCUUACUCCUUGUUGCUAUCAGGUAAUGCUGGGCACUCUAGGGGAACUGCCGGUGAUAAACCGGAGGAAGGUGGGGAUGACGUCAAAUCAGCACGGCCCUUAUGUCCUGGGCUACACACGUGCUACAAUGGCCGGUACAAUGAGCUGCGAUGCCGCGAGGUGGAGCGAAUCUCAAAAAACCGGUCUCGGUUCGGAUUGUAGUCUGCAACUCGACUGCAUGAAGCUGGAAUCGCUAGUAAUCGGAGAUCAGCACGCUCCGGUGAAUACGUUCCCGGGCCUUGUACACACCGCCCGUCACACCAUCCGAGUUGGCAGCACCCGAAGUGGCUGAGCUAAUCCCGACUUGUCGGGAAGGCAGGUUACUAAGGUGAAGCUGGUAAGGAGGGUGAAGUCGAACAAGGU
This 1214-nucleotide ribosomal RNA is filed under the name metagenome. RNAcentral describes it as "bacterial SSU rRNA". It matches the Rfam family "Bacterial small subunit ribosomal RNA", at positions 286 to 1497 of the family's 1533-position model. The record is from RNAcentral.